UAAGGUCCAGAAGAAAUUUGAGUGGAGGAGGAACUUCGCAUAAGUUCUCCUAGGGGCUUUCCUGGGAAGAUGCAAUAGGUUAUCAAGCUAAUUAGCACAGCCUGUGCAUUAAAAAAGAAAGUGAGCGUGAAGAAAGAGCACAUCUCUCCUUGGUGUACAGUUUGUGCAGACAGCAAGUGGCCUGCAAUGAUGAAAUUGUAGCUGUAUGAGACAGAAGGGAGAAGGAGGCAAAGGGGGGGUGAGCUAGCGUAGUGUUGGAGCCAGACAGUCAUGGGAAUUGAGAUGAAGUUGUCAGGAGCAGAGAGAGAUAAGAAAGAAGUACAACAGUUUCUGCGAGCAAGAGUGCAUCAUAAAGGCCAGCUGGAGCUCCAUGCAGAGGGGCUGCUUUGCCCGGGCAGGUUGGCCCAUGGUCUCUUUAGGAAGUACUCGAGGAUUUCAGCAUCGUCUCCCAUGACUGAGCCUGUGCAGGAGCAGGCUUUUUCUGUCCAUGCUCUGCCUUCUGUUGCAUGGAGGAAAACUGUUGGUUCCUUUAUCUUGCAUAUUAAAGGUGGAUUUUGUACCUCUUUCUCUCAGUGAAACAUCCCUGUGGCUAAUUGCAGUGACACUGAUAUUCGAAGGUUUCUAGAGCAGUUCAAUUUAAACAUUGUGACUUUGUGAGCCUGGCAUCGAGUGCUGGAAGGAGCACAUUUAUUGAAGACUUAAAACUAGUGGAGAUGUUGCUAUAUACGCUGUGAGAGAGCUGUUAUGCUUCUUCUCUUUGACUGUAUUAUUUCACUCAUUAGAAUAAACUAUCAGCAAAUCUCCUGUUGUAUGUUCUU
Molecule: long non-coding RNA, 818 nt
Organism: Anser brachyrhynchus (Pink-footed goose)
Lineage: Eukaryota; Metazoa; Chordata; Aves; Anseriformes; Anatidae
Source: Ensembl